Molecule: long non-coding RNA, 2034 nt
Organism: Anas platyrhynchos (mallard)
Lineage: Eukaryota; Metazoa; Chordata; Aves; Anseriformes; Anatidae
Source: RefSeq, a predicted model, not a curated record
UCCUCAUCCACCAGGACCCCCAAGUCCUUCUGAGCAGGGCUGCUCCCGAGUUCUUUACCCAGUCUAUAUAAAUACCUGGGAUUGCCCCAGCGCAAGUGCAACACCUUGCUCUUGGCCUUGUUGAACCUCGUUAGGUUCUCAUGGGCCCACUUCUCCAGCCUGUCCAGGUCCCUUUGGGUGGCAUCCCCUCCCUCUCGUAUCAACUGCACCACUCAGCUUGGUGUCAUCUGCAAACUUGCUGAGGGUGCACUUCACUCUGUCGUCUACGUCAUUGAUAAAGAUGUUGAAGAGCACUGGUCCCAAGACCAACCCCUGAGAGACACCACUUGUGACCAGCCUCCACCCAGACAUAGAACCAUUGACCACAAUAUUCACUGCUUUCAGCUGUAAUUGUAGCUCCUUCUUUAGACAAAGAGUUCCAUCCUCAGCUUGUCUAUUCCUCAAGGUUAUCUUCUGCAUAAAGACCAGAGUAUGCACCAGAGUAUGCAACACUACAGUCCAGGAGUCGCGUAUUAUGCCAGAGAGACUCUUCCCCUGCCACCAACGUGUCUGCAGCAGACUUCAGAGACCCACAUAUUUCUCACAUCAACUAGAAUGACCAGAACAAUGGCCAUUGCUGUAGGUAACAAUAUUCUUUACUGUUUAUUUGAUGAUCUUUAAAUUCACUUUGAGCAGAACCAAAAACUGGUAUCCUUGUUACUACUAUUGCUAUGGAUUAUCUAUUUCAUGGAAGUCAGGAAAGUAUUUUCCUCGAAACACUGAAAACACAAUAAACUGAAGUAUAGGAAAUACUAGAGGAAGAUUAGCUAUUCCAGCAAAUGAAAUAAGCAUAAGAGGUAACAAUAAGAAAUAGGACUUUUUUUCAUGACUAAGCUGAAGAAAAAGCUCAUUAGCUGGUAAGCCUAAUCCCUAGGUAAAUUCUCAGAAUAUUAAGGAAAUAAUUCAGAAUGAUACAAAAUUAUUUUUCCCAGUAGACAAAUAACAACAGUGUCAGUGAAUUAGAUAAUAUUUCCAUUUUAAAAUAACUAUGAGAAGGCUGCUAUUCAAACUUAACAAAUGGGAAGUUUAGUAUGCAAUUGCACAAUAAAAUAAAAAUAUAAUUUUCUGCUUCCUAACAUAGGAACUGAGAACAGUUGAAUAUGGUAACAUUUUAAAUGCAGUUAACAGGGGACAUACACGCACAUUACCUCAGCACUCCCAGAUUUGUUGCCUUAGCAAUGUAGAAGAAGGCAUCUUAAGAUCAGUUCCAGACUCAGGGGAAGAACACACUGAGACUUCCCUGCCACAACUCACGCUAGCUCCAGUGCCAUUUAUUAUCAUUCCUCUUUUUCUUGAUCUUUCCACACUAACCAAAUUAAUUUCUUCAGCUAUUUGACUUCAACCAUCUUCAUCUUCCUAAUGCUCCUAUCUUCCCUUCUUGUAGCCUUAUUAAUGCCUAUCUUCUGUCCUGUUCUUGCCCUGUCUAUGUCUCCAGGCCUCUGCUCUCUGAGCUGCUGAGCUCCCCUCCACGCAAGCAGCAUCUGAUUUCUAGGACCUGUACAGUUCCUACACCACUGUUUAGGAGCGUGUAGAGUCACGUCGUACAGGUGUUCUCCUAUUAACAUGCUGAUUCCACCUCACAGAGCUCUGAGAGGACUCAAGCCCCUACUCAGGUCAAACUUCUGGAAAAUUUGUCAUCACUGUUCACAAGUCUGCUUAAAGUUUAAAAUGAAAGCUGCCGACAAUUACAAUUGUCUAUGAUAGGAAGCAUUAAAAGAAUAUUAUUAAAGAAGAAACAUGUAAAUGCAAGGUACUUUUAGCUCUGAUGUUCUUGCUAGGUUUUUGGUGCAGCUGAUAUGUAUCCCUAUUGACAGUUUACAAGUUUACACUGCCCCAGUGCUCGUAAGGAAGACGGGCAGGGGGUGCUCCGGGUGUCGGGGCAGCAGGUCCAUGGUGGAGCAGGCUGAGCCCUGCAGCCCCCGGGCACCACGCAGAGCAGAUCCCCAUGCCACAGCCUGUGGAGGAGCCCACGCAGGAGCAGGAGGCCCGAGGGGA